RNAcentral lists this ribosomal RNA (435 nucleotides) under uncultured bacterium. Its description in RNAcentral is "bacterial SSU rRNA". It matches the Rfam family "Bacterial small subunit ribosomal RNA", at positions 355 to 796 of the family's 1533-position model. The record is from RNAcentral.
UCGAGGAUCUUCGGCAAUGGGCGCAAGCCUGACCGAGCGACGCCGCGUGUGCGAUGAAGGCCUUCGGGUUGUAAAGCACUGUCGAGGGGGAGGAAACCCCGCAAGGGGCUGACCUAUCCCUGGAGGAAGCACGGGCUAAGUUCGUGCCAGCAGCCGCGGUAAGACGAACCGUGCGAACGUUGUUCGGAAUCACUGGGCUUAAAGGGCGCGUAGGCGGGCGGGCAAGCCCGGGGUGAAAUCUUUCGGCUCAACCGGAAAAGUGCCUCGGGGACUGCUCGUCUGGAGUGAGGUAGGGGCCGCGGGAACUUCCGGUGGAGCGGUGAAAUGCGUUGAUAUCGGAAGGAACGCCGGUGGCGAAAGCGCGCGGCUGGCCCUCAACUGACGCUGAGGCGCGAAAGCUAGGGGAGCGAACGGGAUUAGAUACCCCCGUAGUCC